This 355-nucleotide ribosomal RNA is filed under the name uncultured bacterium. RNAcentral describes it as "partial 16S ribosomal RNA". It matches the Rfam family "Bacterial small subunit ribosomal RNA", at positions 338 to 685 of the family's 1533-position model. The record is from RNAcentral.
CCUACGGGAGGCAGCAGUGGGGAAUAUUGCGCAAUGGGCGAAAGCCUGACGCAGCGACGCCGCGUGAGGGAUGAAGGUCUUCGGAUCGUAAACCUCUGUCAGCAGGGAAGAACGGUCACUGUGCUAAUCAGCAGUGAAUUGACGGUACCUGCAAAGGAAGCACCGGCUAACUCCGUGCAAGCAGCCGCGGUAAUACGGAGGGUGCGAGCGUUAAUGGGAAUUACUGGGCGUAAAGCGCUCGUAGGCGGUAUGUCAAGUCAAGGGUGAAAUCACCGAGCUCAACGUGGGAACUGCCUUUGAAGCGGGCAACCUGGAGUGUGGGAGAGGAUAGUGGAAUUCCAGGGGUAGGAGUGAA